UACGUAGGUGGCAAGCGUUAUCCGGAAUUAUUGGGCGUAAAGCGCGCGCAGGCGGUUUCUUAAGUCUGAUGUGAAAGCCCACGGCUCAACCGUGGAGGGUCAUUGGAAACUGGGGAACUUGAGUGCAGAAGAGGAUAGUGGAAUUCCAAGUGUAGCGGUGAAAUGCGUAGAGAUUUGGAGGAACACCAGUGGCGAAGGCGACUAUCUGGUCUGUAACUGACACUGAGGCGCGAAAGCGUGGGGAGCAAACAGG
This 253-nucleotide ribosomal RNA is filed under the name uncultured bacterium. RNAcentral describes it as "partial 16S ribosomal RNA". It matches the Rfam family "Bacterial small subunit ribosomal RNA", at positions 524 to 776 of the family's 1533-position model. The record is from RNAcentral.